GAGCUGUCUAGGCUAGUCCCUGAAACCUGACCCACUCCCAGGACUCAGCAUUAAUCAAUUCAUGAGGGUGGAGCCCCCAGGAUCUAAUUACCUUCCACUGGCCCCACCUCUUAAAGUCCCACCACCUUCAAUACCAUUACCCUGGGAACCAAGCUUCCAGCCCCUGAACUCCAGGCAGGGGUGGAACUUACUCAGUCAUACCCAAACUCUAGCAGGGACAUUUUCUAUUAUCUAAGUACCACAGCAAUGUUUCUGCCACCUGUUCCACCAUGACCAAACACAAGUCAACCUUGUUCCAGCUGCCAUUCUCCUCACUUGAAACAACUUGGAGCCAGUCAUGGUGGACACAGGGUGGGAUCAACAGGCUUUUGCUGUCACAUGGCAGGUCAACUGGGAGCUGGUUGAUCCCAAACAGUGACUGAUAUAACCUCAUCCACUCGGCUAGCUCAGGCUUUCUCCCACAAUAAUUGCCUUCCAAGAAGGUCCUGUGCAAGUUCCACGUGGCCAUUCAGUGUGUGGUAUCCUUCUCUGGACUGUGAGUGUAGGUGACCAAUAAACUGCUAUUGAUCUCAUCUGUCCAAGGUUGGGUGUCAUG
Heterocephalus glaber (naked mole-rat) is the source of this 595-nucleotide long non-coding RNA. Lineage: Eukaryota; Metazoa; Chordata; Mammalia; Rodentia; Bathyergidae. The record is from Ensembl.